RNAcentral lists this long non-coding RNA (374 nucleotides) under Bos taurus (domestic cattle). Its description in RNAcentral is "long non-coding RNA NONBTAT021949". The record is from RNAcentral. Lineage: Eukaryota; Metazoa; Chordata; Mammalia; Artiodactyla; Bovidae.
AUUUUUAGAGUUUGGUACAUGACAGUACUCGACACAUGGCCCAUGGGUUUGUUCCUCUCAUUUUGGCUUCUCAGAGACCUUUCUUACAAAAGGAAGUCUUCAAAUGCUUUAUUAUGCCAAUAAAAUCUUCCUUCUGAGGACCUGUGAUGGGACCUUAAGGCUGAUACUGCUCCGAAUUCUACAAGGAAUUCAGUUCAACCUUAGGAUCCCCUGUCAUGGGACUCAACUUAAUCCAAAUCCAAAACAGGUGAGUAAAACCUAACAUGACCAUCAGCAUGGCACCCAGGAUUACCCAUACAAACAGAGCCUUCAUGGCUGCUAAGUGGGCUAUGCAGCACACUUUCAUUUAUUUGUGCCUUCCGCAGCACGCCUGU